This 459-nucleotide ribosomal RNA is filed under the name uncultured bacterium. RNAcentral describes it as "partial 16S ribosomal RNA". It matches the Rfam family "Bacterial small subunit ribosomal RNA", at positions 338 to 795 of the family's 1533-position model. The record is from RNAcentral.
CCUACGGGAGGCUGCAGUGAGGAAUAUUGGUCAAUGGGCGCGAGCCUGAACCAGCCAAGUCGCGUGAGGGAAGACGGUCCUAUGGAUUGUAAACCUCUUUUGUCGGGGAGCAAAAGACGCCACGCGUGGCGUUCCGAGAGUACCCUAUGAAAAAGCAUCGGCUAACUCCGUGCCAGCAGCCGCGGUAAUACGGAGGAUGCGAGCGUUAUCCGGAUUUAUGGGGUUUAAAGGGUGCGAAGGCGGAUGUUUAAGUCAGCGGUAAAAUUGAGAGGCUCAACCUCGUCGUGCCGUUGAAACUGGUUGUCUUGAGUGAGUGAGAGGUAUGCGGAAUGCGUGGUGUAGCGGUGAAAUGCAUAGAUAUCACGCAGAACUCCGAUUGCGAAGGCAGCAUACCGGCGCUCAACUGACGCUCAGGCACGAAAGUGUGGGUAUCGAACAGGAUUAGAUACCCGUGUAGUC